AUGUCCUUCAGGAACAGAGGCAAGCAUGGCCCAGAGUGCCGUAGGGCGCCCUCUAAAAUGUCGGCAAUAGAGCAACGCCUGUAUCAAUUCAAAGACCGUAAGGGAGCAGAAAUAUUCGAGCCUACUGUUGGAACAACAUUUGACUCCAGCCAAGAAGCAUACGAAUUUUAUAAUCUGUACUCAUGGGAAUGUGGAUUCGGUAUUCGUCAUGGGAAGAGCAGAACUAACACAAACAACUAUAGGAGCAUGCACGAGCUAGUCUGCCAGUGCGCGGACAAGGCGAGAAAGGAAAACGCAUCAUCAUGCAAAACUGAUUGCAAGGCAAUGAUCAAAUUGCUUCGUACAAAGGACCAUGGCUGGUAUGUGAGUGCAUUCGUCAAAGAACACAACCAUCGGUUGUCAUUGGGAUAUGAUGCGAAGAUGCAGUGGAAUUCGCACAAUCAUAUUGACGCAAUAUCACAGGAUUUCAUAAAAAAUCUCCGUGAGAAUAACAUCAGUAUAACUAAGGUCUAUAACAUACUGGGCGGACUUGGAGCUGGUCCGCAAGCUGUGCCAUACCGCAAGCAGUUGAUGCGUACAUUGUGCUCCAGGUACUCCCAGGAAACUAUAAAAGAUGACCUGUCCAAAACAAUGAGUCUCCUGCAAGAGAUGAAGGCUCAGGACAACAACUUGAAGGUGGAGGUUGAUGUGGAUGCAGAGGGACGAGUCCGAUCGAUGUUGUGGUGUACCGGCAAGAACCGUCAGGAUUAUGUGCACUUUGGAGACGUGGUCACUUUCGACACAACUUACAAAACAAAUCUAUAUAACAUGCCAUUUGGUCUAUUUGUUGGCGUCAACAACCACUUCCAGUCGGUUAUCUUUGGAGGUGUCUUGAUGCGUGAAGAAACCGAAGUGGCAUUCAAGUGGGUGUUUAGCACGUUCGUCACCAUUAUGGACAACAAACAACCCGUUACUAUUCUUACAGACCAGGCACAGGCAAUGAAGGGUGCAAUCGAGUCUGCGCUUCCAGAAGCAAGGCAUCGUUGGUGCAAAUGGCAUGUUCUGUGAGACGCCAAAGAAAAGAUCGGCCAUGUGUACAACAAAUUCUCUGGAUUCAAGAAGCAAUUUCACCCUCUCAUCAAUGAUAUUAUGUGUGUGGAGGAGUUUGAAGACAGGUGGUCCAAGUUGGUAGCAAAAUACAAACUCAACAACAAUGAUUACAUGACAAGGCUUUUCGACAAGAGAGCAAUGUGGGCCAAGCCGUAUUUCAAGGAGAUUUUCUGCGCAGGGAUGACAAGCACCCGAAGGAGCGAGAGUGCCAAUCAUAUGUUGAAGCAGUACAUACAACGAUCAUCUCCCAUGCAUGUUUUUGUUCGUCAAUACGGGAAGUUUCUCGGUGCCAGAAGGAGCGAGGAGGCUAGGGAAGCACACAUGACAGCAAACGUAAGCCUAUAG
Molecule: ribosomal RNA, 1434 nt
Filed under: Triticum aestivum (bread wheat)
Lineage: Eukaryota; Viridiplantae; Streptophyta; Magnoliopsida; Poales; Poaceae
Description: partial small subunit ribosomal RNA
Source: RNAcentral